Non-coding RNA from Podarcis lilfordi (Lilford's wall lizard), 91 nucleotides. The record is from the annotation of a GenBank genome assembly. Lineage: Eukaryota; Metazoa; Chordata; Lepidosauria; Squamata; Lacertidae.
GCCCUGGCCAGCCUUAGCUCAGUGGCAGGGCUUCUCUGCUUUGCAUGCAGGAAGGUCCCAGGUUCAGUUCCUGGCAUUUCCAGGUAGGGCU